This is a non-coding RNA of Danio rerio (zebrafish), 2070 nucleotides long. The record is from RefSeq and is a predicted model, not a curated record. Lineage: Eukaryota; Metazoa; Chordata; Actinopteri; Cypriniformes; Danionidae.
UCUAACUACAGCUCUAGAGAGAUUGUUACAAAUGUACAAGUUUGGAAGGCAGUUUGUGAAUGUUUGUUGGAACGAUGGAUUAGGGAAACUAAAAUCAACAAACUAUGUUUAUGUGAUGGUGUAGUGCAGCUGAUUGAUAUGAGUAACCAAAAUGUGAUGGUGCUGUGCAGCUGAUUGGCAUUGACAUCGGCCAAUCGGCACGUAGCACCGCCUUUUUAAACCUGAUUGGUUGGUGCUUGGGAUACGUCACGUCCGACUCCGACGCACUGGUUUGGGUGUCUGUAGCCGCGGCUACAGUGCAUCGUGUGGCGGUGGCUUUUCCCUUGGCUGUGGUGGCUGGAUGACUGUUCAAUUGCAGGAACUGAGGUUUCCCCCGGUGGAUGACAGGUCACUUUCCACUGGUGGUGGUGUUUCUCUAUCGUGUGCUGUGGACACUGAGUGCGUGAUAGCGUGAUUUUUGAGUGCACUGUGGUGUGUGCGUGUGCUGGGGUAAAGUCUGUCCACUCGUACCCAAUCAGUGGGAACCUCCAAUCCUGGUUUGGUUUUGUUUAUUUAUUGUUUCUUGUGUUUAAUAAUGAAGUGGGAGUUUUUGAUGUGUUUUUAAGAACCGUACCAUUUGACAGUUUUAUUCCAAAUGAAUAUUUUUGUACUUUUUCAUUAACUCACGUCUCUGUGCCUUUCUGGGAGAAACGAACCUGUGUCCUUUUCUAAUAGUUGUUUCCCUGGGUAACUCCCGGGGUGGCGUAGUCGGUUAUUUUUAUUUAAAGAGAUUUAAACCCUACUCUAUACCCUCGUCACAUUUAUAACAAUGGAACUUGCGACCUUAGUUGGCUAACAAUGGUUUUUAGAAUGUUUGAUUUCGGGGGCGUCACGUCUGACUCUGCACUUUGUUUGGGUGCACUUUUCCCAGUGGAUGACGGGUCUUUUUCCAACUGGUGGUGGUGCUUCUUUACUGUGUGCUGUGGGACACUGAGUGCUUGAUAGUGUGAUUCGGGUGCACUGUGGUGUGUGUGUGUGCUAAGGUAAAAUCAGUCUACUUGUAUCCAGUCAGUGGGAACCUCAGUACUGUGGUUUUGAUUUGUUUAUUUUUUUGUCAUUGUUUUCCUUGUUUUAUUUAAUGAUAUAAAGUGGGAGUUUUUGAUGUGUUUUCAAAAACGAGUACAUCUUUACAUUUGAUGAAAAUAAAUAUUUUUGUACUUUUGUAAUUACCCACGUCUCUUUGCCCUUUUGAGGGAAACAAACCUGUGUUCUUUUUCUAAUUUAGUUAUUUCCCUGGGUAACUCCCAGGUUGGCGUAGUCGGUCAUUUUUAUUCAAAGACAAUUAAAACUCUAUCUCAUCUCCAUCCCCUCGUCAUCCACAUUGGCAGAUCUAGAUCAAUCUCUUUGCGUCAAUAGAGCAACAGCCUGUGCAAGCUCAACUGUGCAGCCAUUGAGAAUCCCAGGAGAAUGGUGACUCCACCCUGGAGCGCUCCACCUGAUGUGGGUGUGAUUUAGAUAACCCUGUGUGGUUUUCCUGAAACUCCAUUUCCAGUUGUUAUGAAUAGGAGCAAAGAGAUUAAAUCUAUCUAGUGCAACUCUCAUACCCUCUCUGGAUCUCUCUGUGGUCCUCUCUGGACUGCAGAGAGAGCUGUUCGAGCUGCUCGAUUGAGAAUCUUCCUUCUCUAGAGACAGCACUGCUCAUCGCGCUGGUUUCUAUCAAGAGGGUCGGGGACCUAGAGGCAUUUUUGUUCUGCAAAUUGUGCCUAGAAAUCUGGAUGACUAACUCUGAUGUUUUCCUGAGAUCCCAACCAAGCUAUGUGCCCAAGGUUCCUACCUCUUCAUUUUGAACCAGGUAGUAAGCAUGCAAGCAUUGACCCUGAAUGAGGCAGACCCAGCCUUAUAUUGCUGUGUCCCGUUUACAAUGAUAGCAAACAGCAGCUCUUUGUGCAUGAUUUCGUCUUUUGGGAAACAAUUUGAUUGUUGGAAGAUGGGUGUUGCUAACAAAAUAAAAGAAGACUAAUGACAACUGAAUGAAUGAAGACAAUAAAUUAUUCUUCUAUGGCCUGCCUUUGAAACUAAGAGAAAAAAUGG